RNAcentral lists this transfer RNA (83 nucleotides) under Cellulomonas sp. Its description in RNAcentral is "tRNA-Leu". It matches the Rfam family "tRNA". From Rfam's summary of the family: Transfer RNA (tRNA) molecules are approximately 80 nucleotides in length. Their secondary structure includes four short double-helical elements and three loops (D, anti-codon, and T loops). The record is from RNAcentral. RNAcentral also lists the same sequence under 2 other names. Lineage: Bacteria; Bacillati; Actinomycetota; Actinomycetes; Micrococcales; Cellulomonadaceae.
GUCCGGGUGGCGGAAUGGCAGACGCGCUAGCUUGAGGUGCUAGUGCCCUUAUGGGCGUGAGGGUUCAAGUCCCUUUCCGGACA